AAACUUGAGAGUUUGAUCAUGGCUCAGAAUGAACGCUGGCGGCAUGCCUAACACAUGCAAGUCGAACGAAGGCUUCGGCCUUAGUGGCGCACGGGUGCGUAACGCGUGGGAAUCUACCCUUAGGUUCGGAAUAACAGUUGGAAACGACUGCUAAUACCGGAUGAUGACGUAAGUCCAAAGAUUUAUCGCCUAGGGAUGAGCCCGCGUAGGAUUAGCUAGUUGGUGUGGUAAAGGCGCACCAAGGCGACGAUCCUUAGCUGGUCUGAGAGGAUGAUCAGCCACACUGGGACUGAGACACGGCCCAGACUCCUACGGGAGGCAGCAGUGGGGAAUAUUGGACAAUGGGCGAAAGCCUGAUCCAGCAAUGCCGCGUGAG
Molecule: ribosomal RNA, 376 nt
Filed under: Sphingomonas glacialis
Lineage: Bacteria; Pseudomonadati; Pseudomonadota; Alphaproteobacteria; Sphingomonadales; Sphingomonadaceae
Description: bacterial SSU rRNA
Rfam family: Bacterial small subunit ribosomal RNA
Source: RNAcentral